UGGACGAUAGCCUGCAAACCAC
This 22-nucleotide non-coding RNA is filed under the name Arabidopsis thaliana (thale cress). The record is from RNAcentral. Lineage: Eukaryota; Viridiplantae; Streptophyta; Magnoliopsida; Brassicales; Brassicaceae.